ACUUUUAAUAAUAGAUCUCUUGGUUCUAGUAUUAAUAAAGAACGCAGCGAAAUGCAAUAAGUAGUGUAAAUUGUAGAAUUUAGUGAAUUAUUAAAUCUUUAAACGCACAUUGCGCCCCUUAGUAUUCUAUAGGGUAUACCUGUUUAAGCGUUAUUUGUACCCUUAAGCUCUGCUUAGUGUUAGGUGUUUAUUCUACUUAGGACUUGCCUUAAAACAAUUAGUAGCUAGUAUAUUAGCCUAGAGCGCAGCACAUUUUACGCCUCUUGUUAUAGUUGUUAGUAUCUAUUAAGACACUUUUUAAGCUCUUAACCUUAGAUUAGGUAGGGAUACCUACUAAACUUAAGCAUAUUAAUAAGCGGAGGAAAAGAAACUAAUAGGGAUUGCCCUAGUAACGGCAAGUGAAGCGGCAAUAGCUUAAAUUUAAAAUCUAGCUCUUUUAGGGUCUAAGUUGUAAUUUGCAGAGGGCGCUUUAGCGUUAGCAGCAGUCUAAGUUCCUUAGAACAGGACGUUACAGAGGGUAAGAAUCCUAUACGUGGUCGCUGGCCUUCGCUAUGUAAAGCCCCUUUAACAAGUUAAGUUGUUUAGGAAUGCAGCUCUAAAUAGGAGGUAAAUUUCUUCUAAAGCUAAAUACUAGCUAGAGACUAAUAGCGCACAAGUAGAGUGAUUAAAAGAUAAAAAGCACUUUAGAAAGAGAGUUAAAUAGCACGUGAAAUUGUUGAAAGGGAAGCGCUUGUAGCUAGACUUGCCUAUAGUUGCUUAUCUAGGCUUUUGUCUAGUGCACUCUUGUAUAGGUAGGCUAGCAUUAGUUUAGGUGGUUUAGAUAAAGGUCUCUGUCACGUACCUCCCUUUAGGGAGGCCUUAUAGGGGAGACAACAUGCAACCAGCCUAGACUAAGGUCCGCGUAUCUGCUAGGAUGCUAGCGUAAUAGCUAUAAGCGGCCUAUCUUAAAAUAUAGACUAAGGAGUCUAACAUCUAUGUAAGUGUUUAGGUGUUAAGCCUAGACGCGUAAUAAAAGUGAAUAGAGGUAGGAACCCUUUUAGGGUGCACUAUUAACUAAUCCUAAUAUCUUUAGAAGGAUUUAAGUAAGAGCAUAGCUAUUAGGACCUAAAAGAUGGUAAACUAUGCUUAAAUAGGGUGAAGCUAGAGGAAACUCUAGUAGAGGCUCGCAGCAGUUCUAACGUGCAAAUUGAUUAUUAAAUUUAGGUAUAGGGGCGAAAGACUAAUUAAACUAUCUAGUAGCUAGUUCCUACUAAAGUUUCCCUUAGGAUAGUAGUAACGUAUUUAGUUUUAUAAGGUAAAGCGAAUAAUUAGAGGCCUAGGGGUUAAAAUAACCUUUACCUAUUCUUAAACUUUAAAUAUGUAAGAAGUCCUUGUUACUUAAUUAAACGUGGACACUUAAAUGUACUAUUACUAGUAGGCUAUUUUUAGUAAGCAGAACUAGUAAUGCGGGAUAAACUAAACGUAGGGUUAAGGUGCUAGAAUAUACGCUUAUUAGACACUACAAAAGGUGUUAGUUUAUCUAGACAGCAGGAUAGUAGCUAUAGAAGUUAGAAUCUACUAAGGAGUGUGUAAUAACUCACCUGCUAAAUAAACUAGCCCUAAAAAUAGAUGGCGCUUAAGCGUGUUACCUAUACCCCGCCGCCAGGGCAAGAUUUAAGCCCUAGCAAGUAGGCAGGCGUGGAGGCUUGUAACAAAGCCUUAGGGGUAACCCUAGGUAGAAUGGCCUCUAGUGCAGAUCUUGGUAGUAGUAGUAAAUACUUAAAUAAGAACUUUAAGGACUAAAGUAGGGAAAGGUUCUAUAUAAAUAGUAGUUAGACAUAGGUUAGUUAAUCCUAAGAGAUAGGGUAAUUCUAUUUUAAUGUUAGUGCUUACGCUGCGCCCUUAAAAGGGAAGCUAGUUAAUAUUCUAGCACCUAGAUGUAGAUUCUCCGCGGCAACGCAACUAAGAGCGGAGACCUUGGCAGGAGCCCUAAGAAGAGUUCUCUUUUCUUCUUAACAGUCUGUUACCCUAAAAUUGGUUUGUCUAGAGCUAGGGUUUAAUAGCUAGAAGAGCGCUGCACUUUUGCGGCGUUUAGUGCGCUCCUAACAAGCCUUAAAAAUCUGCUUAAAGAAAUAGUUUUUACGCUAGGUUAUACUUAUAACUAUAGUAGGUCUCUAAGGUAAAAAGCCUCUAGUUAAUAGAACAAUAUAGAUAAGGGAAGUUAGCAAAAUAGAUCUAUAACUUUAGGAAAAGGAUUAGCUCUAAGGGUUAGGUACGUUGGGCCUUAGAGAGAAGCCUCUAGCGUAGAAGGGCACUAACCGCAAGGUAGGCGCCUCUUAGCGCUAGGGUGCAGACACCCUUAGCAGGUUUUAGCCGUCUAGCGUAUAUUUAACAACUAACUUAGAACUAGUAUAGAUAAGGGGAAUCUAACUAUCUAAUUAAAAUAUAGCAUUGUAAUAGCUAGAAAGUAGUAUUAACGUAAUAUAAUUUCUGCCUAGUGCUCUAAAUGUUAAAGCGAAGAGAUUUAACUAAGCGCGGGUAAAUAGUAGGAGUAACUAUAACUCUCUUAAGGUAGCUAAAUGCCUUGUUAUCUAAUUAGUAACGCGCAUAAAUAGAUUAAUAAGAUUCCUACUAUCCCUAUCUACUAUCUAGUGAAACUAUAGCUAAGGGAACAGGCUUGGCUAAAUUAGCAGGGAAAGAAGACCCUAUUAAGCUUGACUCUAGUUUAACAUUAUAAAAAGAUAUAACAGGUGUAGAAUAGGUAGGAGCUUUAGCGCUAGUAAAAUACUACUACCCUUAUUGUUUUUUUACUUAUUUAAUAAAGUAGAGCUAGGCCUUACUACCUAACUUCUAGCGUUUAAGGUCCUUUAUAGGCUAAUCUAGGUUAAAGAUAUUAUUAGGUAGGGAGUUUAGCUAGGGCGGUAUAUCUAUUAAACUAUAACGCAGGUGUCCUAAGGGUGACUUAUAGAGAAUAGAAAUCUCUAGUAGAGUAAAAGGGUAAAAGUCCCCUUAAUUUUAAUUUUUAGUGUAAAUACAAACCAUAAAAGUAUAGCCUAUUAAUCCUUUAGUCCCUUAAAAUUUAAGGCUAGAGGUGCUAGAAAAGUUACCACAGGGAUAACUAGCUUGUGGCAGCCAAGCGUUUAUAGCGACGUUGCUUUUUAAUCCUUUAAUAUUAGCUCUUCCUAUUAUACUAAAGCAGAAUUUAGUAAGCGUUAGAUUGUUCACCUACUAAUAGGGAACGUAAGCUAGGUUUAGACCAUUGUAAGAUAGGUUAGUUUUACCCUACUAAUAACCUUGCCCUAAUAGUAAUACUACUUAGUACGAGAGGAACCGCGGUUUUAGAUAAUUAGUUUUUGCGGCUAUCUAACUAGGUAUUGCCGCGAAGCUACUAUCUGCUAGAUUAUAGCUAAACGCCUCUAAGUUAGAAUCUAUGCUAGAAUAGGGUGAUUUCCACCUACACUAGUUAGAUACAAAUAGGCCUUUGGCCCAGAACCUUACUAGAUUAGCGUUAGCAGCCCUAUUAAAGUUAGGGUUAUUAGCUAGUGUAUUGUAAUUGUACAGUGCGCAGGAUUAAAUCCUUUGCAGAUAACUUAGUUGUCUAGCUAGGUCGUGUAAGUAGUUAAGUAGCCUUGUUGUUACAAGCUACUAAGCGUAAGCCCGUUGCUAGCUUAGUUAAAAUUAGGAUAUUAUGCCCUCCUUAUUUGCAAAACUGCUGCCUAAACAGCUGCUGUUAAUAGAAGGAAGAGGGCUAUAGCGAACAAGUUAUAUAGUAAUUGCAAGAUAGAGAGGGCUAGAGCUAGGAGCAAUCCUCGCAAAAUAUACAAAAGAACAGGUUAUGUGUGUACGUACCUUAGGCAGUUAAUAUAUAGCAUAGGAAGAUUAAGAAAGGAUUUAAGAUAAUCUAUAUAGAUUUUUAGGCAGUGAUCUAUAACUUUAGGGCGUUCUAUAACUUUUUAUUUUUUAGGGGUAGUGUUCUAUAACUUUAGGGCGUUCUAUAACUUUAGGGCGUUCUAUAACUUUUUAUUUUUUAGGGGUAGUUUUCUAUAACUUUAGGGCGUUCUAUAACUCUUUCUUUUUUUAAGGUAGUGUUCUUUAACUUUUGGGCGUUCUAUAACUUUAGGGCGUUCUAUAACUUUGGUGCGUUCUACAACUUUUUAUUUUUUAGGUGUAGUGUUCUAUAACUUUAGGGCGUUCUAUAACUUUAGGGCGUUCUACAACUUUUUAUUUUUUAGGGGUAGUAUUCUAUAACUUUAGGGCGUUCUAUAACUUUAGGGCGUUCUAUAACUUUAGGGCGUUCUACAACUUUUUAUUUUUUAGGGGUAGUGUUUUAUAACUUUAGGGCGUUCUAUAACUUUUUCUUUUUUAGAGGUAGUGUUCUAUAACUUUAGGGCGUUCUAUAACUUUUUCUUUUUUAGAGGUAGUGUUCUAUAAUAUUAGAGUGUUCUAUAACUUUUUAUUUUUUAGGGUUAGUAUUCUAUAAUAUUAGAGUGUUCUAUAACUUUUUCUUUUUUAGAUGUAGUGUUCUAUAAUAUUAGAGUGUUCUAUAACUUUUUCUUUUUUAGAGGUAGUGUUCUAUAACUUUAGGGCGUUCUAUAACUUUAGGGCGUUCUAUAACUUUAGGGCGUUCUACAACUUUUUAUUUUUUAGGUGUAGUGUUCUAUAACUUUAGGGCGUUCUAUAACUUUAGGGCGUUCUAUAACUUUAGGGCGUUCUACAACUUUUUAUUUUUUAGGGGUAGUGUUUUAUAACUUUAGGGCGUUCUAUAACUUUUUCUUUUUUCGAGGUAGUGUUCUAUAACUUUAGGGCGUUCUAUAACUUUUUCUUUUUUAGAGGUAGUGUUCUAUAAUAUUAGAGUGUUCUAUAACUUUUUAUUUUUUAGGGUUAGUAUUCUAUAAUAUUAGAGUGUUCUAUAACUUUUUCUUUUUUAGAGGUAGUGUUCUAUAAUAUUAGAGUGUUCUAUAACUUUUUCUUUUUUAGAAGGAGUGUUCUAUAACUUUAGGGCGUUCUAUAACUUUAGGGCGUUCUAUAACUUUUUAUUUUUUAGGGUUAGUAUUCUAUAAUAUUAGAGUGUUCUAUAACUUUUUCUUUUUUAGAGGUAGUGUUCUAUAACUUUAGGGCGUUCUAUAACUUUUUAUUUUUUAGAUAUAGUGUUCUAUAACUUUAGGGCGUUCUAUAACUUUAGGGCGUUCUAUAACUUUUUACUUUUUAGUUUUUAGGGUUUGUGUUCUAUUAGCUUAGCGCGUUCUACAACUUUUUAUUUUUAGGGGUAGCAUUCUAUAACUUUAGGGCGUUCUAUAACUUUAGGGCCUUCUAUAAGCUUAGGGCGUUCUAUAACUUUAGGGCGUUCUAUAACUUUAGGGCGUUCUAUAACUUUUUAUUUUUUAGGGUUAGUGUUCUAUAACUUUAGCGCGUUCUAUACCUUUUAUUUAUUCUAUUACUUUAGUCCUUUCUAUAACUUUAGACUAUUCUAUACUAGUAGCUAUUAUAUCCUUUUUAUAAUACUUAUUAUAUCAUACUAUUAUCUAUUAUUCUUUACUAUUAAGUAUAUCCUUAUAUUUUAUAAAACCUUUUCUCUACUAGCUAGUCCUACUAUACUUUCUUUUAUAACCUACUAGUAUUAAAUAAUACCUUUAUAUUCUUCUUUUAUACUAUCUCUAUUUCUUGCCUUAUCUAUUAAGUAGAUAUAGAUAGAGCUAAUAGAUCUAUAGUUAAUAUAGAUAUAGUAGUUAUAGUAAAGUAUAGAUAUUAGAGUAGAUAUCCUUAUCUAUAUAUUUACCUACUACUAAUAAAAUUCUAAGUUACUCUUAUCUAGCAAAUACAGGUUUAUAGUUUGUAUAGGGCUGCGCAUGUCUACACGGUUUUAUAUACAAAAAAGUAUACCUCUAAGCUAUUUUCCGCCGCACUAACCCCGCGACGCAAAAAUUAAACUAAAACCUAUUCCUAUAAUAUAUAAGGAGAGCAAAUAGAUUCUUAAAUACUAAAUACCUAACUAACUAACUAAGGUUAAAUCUGCUGCGCGUAGUUCUUGGAUUAGGCAGUUAAACUAGCAUUAUUAGGCACUAAGGGGGCAAUUUUUGCUUGUGUCCGCGUCUAUACUCCCUAUAACUCCCUAUUAUUAGCGCUCUACGCCUAUUUUAGCAGCAGUUAGACUAAAUUUAAAAGUUUUAGUUUUAUAAUAGCUAGCCUUGUUUCCUAGAUUUCUACCUAGUUUAGAUUUACUCUAAUUAGUAGGUAAUUAGGGGCUUAGAGAUUACUCUUCUACUUAACUAGGCAGGCCUAGGCCUAUAUGCUAAAGCAACCCUGCUAUUACGCCUAGUUUUGUGGUUAGCACCUAAAGUCCUACUAUUAAAGUUUUAGCAGUAGGCAAAAUUUAGGGUCUGUAGAUAGCUAGCACUGCCAAACUAUUUAACAGAUCUUAGGGGACAGCCCUGCCUAGCAUCUGCUCCUAGUAAGCGUAGCAAAGCGUGGGUUUUCUCUACUUAAGGCAUAUAUAUGGCGAGUUUAAACACGCAGAAACACCUAUUAGGCUUUGUUACAGACUAUUCCUUAAGAAACUUAGUAGGGGCAAUUAAAUUAGUUACUAGUUGUAACUAGUGCCUUAUGUGCUAUUAUGCUAGUAGCUAGAAUUGCUUCUGCAAUUUCUUAUCACGUACUUUCUGCCUCCUUUUAGGGGUAGUGCUUGUGCGCUUUGGCGUAUUAGGUAUUAGGAUUAUUACCUAGUUAAUUCUACUAGUAGUUAUAUACUUAUCUUAAAGAUUAAGCUAUAUAUAUCUAAGUAUAAGUAAUUAUACUAUAAAACUACAAAUAGCUUAUUAAAUUAGUUAUUAUUUAUUUAAUAGUACCUUACUACUUAGAUAACUAUAGUAAUUCUAGAGCUAAUACAUGCUAAAAACCCUAACUUUAGAAGGGGUGUAUUUAUUAGAUAAAAAACUAACGCCCUUUAGGGCUUCUUAGUAAUUUAUAAUAACUUUAUAGAUUAUAUAGCCUUACGCUAGCGAUAGUUUAUUUAAAUUUCUGCCCUAUUAACUUUU
Molecule: ribosomal RNA, 7010 nt
Filed under: Plenodomus lingam JN3
Lineage: Eukaryota; Fungi; Ascomycota; Dothideomycetes; Pleosporales; Leptosphaeriaceae
Description: 28S_rRNA
Rfam family: Eukaryotic large subunit ribosomal RNA (bases 307-3656)
Source: RNAcentral